Oncorhynchus kisutch (coho salmon) is the source of this 739-nucleotide long non-coding RNA. RefSeq lists it as uncharacterized. The transcript is spliced from 3 exons. NCBI's taxonomy places the organism in Eukaryota, Metazoa, Chordata, Actinopteri, Salmoniformes, Salmonidae. The record is from RefSeq and is a predicted model, not a curated record.
CAGCACUGACCAUCAAGCCAUGAAACGUCCCUCUUGGAGGAUGCAUGUACUCAAACACUUGGCUGCGGUUAAAACGGCCAACUCAGUCAGCUGAUUCUAGCCAUCCCUUCUGGUUAGUUUUAGUCGGGCAUCCUAGUCUCCCAUCCAGAGAACCCCCACUUUUCUUAGUGUUUUAUUGGCCAAGGUCACGCCAAAUCCUUAUCACCACAUGUCGAUCAGCCUACCAGUGACCUUCACGGGACUUCAGUUUCAGUUGGUCUAACACGCUGUGUGGUCAGAAAUGUGCUUUCCCCAUCCUGAUGAGCACUUCCACAGUUUUUCCUCCUACUGAACUUUUACUCCUGUGGGCUGAAUCUCUUUAUGUCUGAUUGUGUGUGCAUCUAAACCUAGCAAUGAGGAAUCACCCCAGAAGCGGCCCUCUUCCGGGAGCCAGAACUGACUGAAUCGGCCUGGAAUCGGGUGUCAUACUCGGCCCGAAUCAAAAUGACUGUCCAGAAUCGGCCCAAGUACAUCCUACCUGAAUUCAGCUGACUUUGCCGGAAUCCCCCCAGAAGCGGCCUGAUGCAAAUAUUUCCUGUCAUCAACCGCUUGCCUGAGCUCCCGGACUACAUUAUUAGCCAUUUUCCUGCCUGUACUGUUACCUUUUUGGAGUCCCUGUGUAUGACCUCCUGCCUGUCCCUGGACCCAGCUACCUGCCUCCUCCUGUGGUCCUAAUAAACACCUGUGCUUGAAACCAGCA